RNAcentral lists this ribosomal RNA (254 nucleotides) under uncultured bacterium. RNAcentral's name for it is "partial 16S ribosomal RNA". It matches the Rfam family "Bacterial small subunit ribosomal RNA", at positions 524 to 776 of the family's 1533-position model. The record is from RNAcentral.
UACGUAGGGACCAAGCGUUGUUCGGAUUUACUGGGCGUAAAGGGCGCGUAGGCGGCCUCUGCAAGUCGACUGUGAAAUCUCCGGGCUUAACCCGGAACGGUCAGCCGAUACUGCAGGGCUAGAGUGCAGAAGGGGCAACUGGAAUUCUCGGUGUAGCGGUGAAAUGCGUAGAUAUCGAGAGGAACACCUGCGGCGAAGGCGGGUUGCUGGGCUGACACUGACGCUGAGGCGCGAAAGCUAGGGGAGCGAACGGG